UGGGGAAUAUUGCACAAUGGGCGCAAGCCUGAUGCAGCCAUGCCGCGUGUGUGAAGAAGGCCUUCGGGUUGUAAAGCACUUUCAGCGAGGAGGAAGGUGGUGAACUUAAUACGUUCAUCAAUUGACGUUACUCGCAGAAGAAGCACCGGCUAACUCCGUGCCAGCAGCCGCGGUAAUACGGAGGGUGCAAGCGUUAAUCGGAAUUACUGGGCGUAAAGCGCACGCAGGCGGUUUGUUAAGUCAGAUGUGAAAUCCCCGGGCUCAACCUGGGAACUGCAUUUGAAACUGGCAAGCUAGAGUCUCGUAGAGGGGGGUAGAAUUCCAGGUGUAGCGGUGAAAUGCGUAGAGAUCUGGAGGAAUACCGGUGGCGAAGGCGGCCCCCUGGACGAAGACUGACGCUCAGGUGCGAAAGCGUGGGGAGCAACAGAUUAGAUACCCUGGUAGUCCACGCUGUAAACGAUGU
RNAcentral lists this ribosomal RNA (463 nucleotides) under uncultured bacterium. RNAcentral's name for it is "partial 16S ribosomal RNA". It matches the Rfam family "Bacterial small subunit ribosomal RNA", at positions 355 to 812 of the family's 1533-position model. The record is from RNAcentral.